This 80-nucleotide unclassified non-coding RNA is filed under the name Arenibacter nanhaiticus. RNAcentral describes it as "Flavo-1 RNA". The record is from RNAcentral. Lineage: Bacteria; Pseudomonadati; Bacteroidota; Flavobacteriia; Flavobacteriales; Flavobacteriaceae.
AUUGAGUCAUUUCGUGCGUUAGGGAUCGCAGCGGCAUCCCCGCAGCGGAGCAAGGGAUAUAGCGAAGAGCCCGACCCGUU